UCAUAAGUCAGACAAUUUUGUUCAUUGUUAUUACCUCUGGGUCACUGGUACUAAAGUGUUUAAGUGUCACGCUGUCCUUCAUUUUAGGUGAUCACAAAGGUGGGAUUUGUUUCUUUAUUUAUAAAACAUUUUACCAGGAUGGAUACUUUGAGAUUUCUCUAGUUUUCAAAUAUGUCCUGGAAUGAGUUGAAGCCCUCACAAUAUACCUAUCUUGCUUUACCAUCAUUAUCCAGAAGGGAAGUGGCUAACUGUACCUCUCCUUUAGGUAUUUGGUUUAGAAUUCUAACCACUUAAUCUGAUUAUUUUAGAAUGUUAAAUGAGCAAAUUUAAUCAAGUGCAAGAAAAGUCACGUUUCUCCAAGAGAUUCAUUAGGCAAGAAAAUUAUCAACAUCUUUUUUCAGCACCAAUAAUUCAGACUUGUUUAGUGCUCAAUUACGAUUCCAAAUCUUGUAAAUGAACAAGGGAAACUUUGUUGACCGUGAGGAUGUAGUGAUUAAUGAUAAAGUGUAUGGUAUUGUUAGUGUAUAUGCCUUUAAGCUAGUAACUUGUUUCAUUUUACACUUUAAUUUUUCUUGCACAAUUUUAGAUUGGCUACUUGAUUGUUGGGAGUGACCAUAACAAUAAUAAGUGCUCAGAUUGACAUAUCUCACCCCCAAGCAACUCACUCCAUUGACAUAAAUCUGUGGCUCAGUUGAUGCAUAACUUGAAUCUUCUUGUUUAAUGGUACAUCCUUCAUAAAUCCAAAAUUGAUUUUAUUUUCCAUUUCCAGAUGCAUGAUACCAUAUCCCAAAUUAACAUGUACUUAGUCGCCUUUUUCCUAUGAUUU
Non-coding RNA from Pelobates cultripes (western spadefoot toad), 826 nucleotides. Lineage: Eukaryota; Metazoa; Chordata; Amphibia; Anura; Pelobatidae. The record is from the annotation of a GenBank genome assembly.